CCAAAAUGUGAUUUGUUCCCAUAUUUUGGGUAAUUUUAAGAUGUUAAAAAAAAAGGAUUCUGACUGAGAAAUACAACACCACACAGCUGUGAAUUAUCAAGCUAAGGUUCAAAUCUAGAUCUUGUCUGGCUUCUCAGCCUGUGUUUUAUUCUAUGCAAUUUUUCUUCAGUAUAUUUACCUGUUAGACUAUUCCACCUUCUAGGAAAUAAAAUCUUAUUUUUUUGGAUUAUAGUCUUGGAACUGGGACCCCAUCACAUACCUGCCAUUUCUUGGAUGACGUGUCUACAUUUCAGAGGCUCACCUUUUUCUGGAAUUCUCAUUACCAUUGACUUCCCUCUAGCCCAUAAUGAAGCUCCCAGAGUUGACCAAUGGUCUGAACUAGGAGCUGGUAUCUGUCCCAAGACCUCAGAUAUUCACCUCUUAUCAAUGGACCUGACCUCCCAGCCACUAUGCCAGGAAUGA
This 462-nucleotide long non-coding RNA is filed under the name Felis catus (domestic cat). RNAcentral describes it as "lncRNA (ENSFCAG00000052573.1)". The record is from RNAcentral. Lineage: Eukaryota; Metazoa; Chordata; Mammalia; Carnivora; Felidae.